Molecule: long non-coding RNA, 1044 nt
Filed under: Cairina moschata (Muscovy duck)
Lineage: Eukaryota; Metazoa; Chordata; Aves; Anseriformes; Anatidae
Description: domestica (muscovy Duck (domestic type)) lncRNA (ENSCMMG00000006043.1)
Source: RNAcentral
UAUCAGCCUUGUUCAUAUCACUGCAAUGGUGCUGGCUCAACGUGGGGUUUUCAAGCUCCUGUUGAAGUCAGUGUGUGUUUGGAAACUCAGGCCUCAGAUGAGGUGCUCCUGUUCCUGAGAAAUCGCUCAGGCACUGAUGGUAAAACCUUGGCCACCUCUAAGCCUGCAGCAGACCCUUGCUGGAUUCCUCUCUUAAAGCCUGUUAAGAAGAAGGAACAAGAACUAUUUGGGAGAGAAGUCUGCCUUCCUAAGUGCAGUAGGUUAGAUUAUGAUUUUCUCUUCUGGCCAUUGGGUUUUUGCUCAGAAGCUGUGAUGAACUGGAGGCACAAAGUUUGGAGCAAGAGGCAGACUCCUUAAAAAGCUUCCUGUAUUCAAGUAAGACCUUAAUUCUGCUUUUUGGCUCAGUAGUGUGUGUGCUGCAGAUAACUGUUGCCUAGCAGGUGAAUUAAUAUUUUUGUCCAUGUAGGAAGAGCGUGAGAUUGGCAUUUAAAAAAAAAAAAAAAUCUUUUAAAAGCAAGGAAGCCCGAGAUGUUGCAUGGAUUUAAUGAGGCCUGCUCUUGAGGUGCUGAGGUAACAGAGUCACUCUCCUGAAAGUUAAUUAUGUGCUAGUGUACGAAGCCUAAGCCCUCACCAAGUUGCUUUGUUAUGGAAGUUACUAUGGAUUUAGGAUUAAAUCCUGUGAUGCAUCAUCAGUCCUGCGGGCGUCAGCUGGAGUGAAGGGCUCAGCACCUCAGAGGACUGGCAGCAUUGCAGGAGCUCAUUAGGAAAAGGAAUUAUUAAUUAUUCUGCACUGCCUUUCCACUGUAGGAUUUGAAACAUAUAGCAGGUAGUGCUCUGAGCCCUCACCCAACAAAGUACCUGCUGGCUGUUUACAUCUGGAGUUUAUUUUAUGGAGAGUUUACUAGUGAAUAUUUUGGUGGUUGGUAAAGUAUGUGUUUCAUCUUACACAAAACUAGACUCUGAUGUAUUUUGUGAGCGCAGACUGAUUUUUUUUUGCAUAGGAAUGAACUAUUAUUUUUCUAAUCUCUUAAAGAAAUCUUUCUU